This is a long non-coding RNA of Cyclopterus lumpus (lumpfish), 1328 nucleotides long. RefSeq lists it as uncharacterized. The transcript is spliced from 3 exons. Lineage: Eukaryota; Metazoa; Chordata; Actinopteri; Perciformes; Cyclopteridae. The record is from RefSeq and is a predicted model, not a curated record.
GGGGGGUGUGGCGAAACCAACCGGACAUCCCAGCCGCUCGGUUAGCGUGACUUGUGUUACAGCCACAUGCUUCUUUACCUGAACUCGACUCUUAACCUCAGGAGACUAGCACCACCUUGGCUCAGACUUGGGAGAAGUAUUCAUAUAUUCUACUUAAGAGCACACUUCAGACAGUGGGCACAGGGCAUCUGGUAUGCAGAUGUCUCUGCUGCCCGAGGCAUGCGAUGACAGCCACUGGCAAUGGCUCAAUGAAGUAACCAAGUACCACAUGCCAUCCUGUUGCCAAGAACAGCAGAUAAGACGGUGCAGAGCCGGGGUUAGACGUGAGGGAUGGUGACCAUGGGAGAAGAGGGUAGUGGUCUCGCUUUGACACAUCAGUUUUCACCCUUUGUGUAAAUUGGAAUAAGGAAAUCUGAGUGUGGAGAGCUGUCAAAAGUGUUUCUCAGUAACGGUGUUACUCUGAAAAUCAGACUUAAUCUUUGUGGAUAUUCGUGAGCUGAAGGAUCCCUGAGCACAUGAUUGUGGGGCGAGGUCACGGCCUGGAAGGGAGAUGCUUUCCUGUCACACCCCGUUCCGCUGUUUGUUUUCCGAGCUUUGCUGACUCACGUCCCCAUGUUACUCUCUCUGUGUGUCUAAGGAAAAUGUAGAGCAUGAACAAUCCGUGUGAAUGAAGAGGGGAGGGAAAGGAACAACGGCAUGGCUUUGGUUUCCCUCAUCUCAGCUUGCCUUUGACCUCUGCCUCCUGAACGUUACAUCAGCAGAACUCAGAGAGCAUCAGGAAGCAAAACACAAUGGCAGGGAAACUGGAAGCACGCCCUGCCACCUUCACUUUAGGCCCCAAACACUUAAUGCUUUGCGAUGCAUUUGGGUCAUCGUGGGAAUUGGUAAACUGGGAUAUAAGACAUUUCUUUGGUUUGAAUUUAAUAAAGGUUUAUUACCUCGUUGACCUGAUUCCACUGACCAAAAACAAGAUGUAUGUGAGGAAAAGUAGCUAAGUGAACUAUGAGGCUCUAAAAUGCAUACUGGUAUUCCACUGUACCAUACGUCAUUAUAUCUUUCAGCAACUCACAAGCACCGUGUGAUCACAUUAUUCCUCAGUAACAUGAUCCAACUGUGAAUAGAGAUAAAAAAAACAUCUACAUUGCUUUUACUUCAAACCGCUGCAGUAUGUUUCGUGAUUGCUGAGAAAACAAGAUAUCUUUUUUAUUGUUUAUAUUUCAAACCAUGUUUUACAUAUUUUUAAAGGCUGCUGAUCAUUUAUAAUGAUUAUAUCUCCCAGCCACAGUCACAUGGACAAUGUAUCCCUUUAAUAAAACACCCUGUAUACA